AGCAAGUUAACCUCCUAUGCGACAUAAAAAUUAGUAUAGUGGCGGUGUUUUUACUACCAAAUUGAAGAAUUCCAAGAUUUCCAAUCGAGAAUAUCCCGUAAAACAGCAAAGAGCGGUUUCUUCCGUGUCCUUGCAUCGUCCUCAAUUGUGCGCUUCACUAGUUAAUGUGUUAGUUUUCUUGCAAAGCAUGACUAGAUUUUUCCUUUUUGCCGCGUUUUCAUGACUUUACUGCAGUGUGGAUCAUCUGUCAUAAAAUGUGCGCUCAUAAACGAAGAAAAACCAUCAAUCCGCCAACGUAACACCACGCAAAAAGAAGCGAAUCCAGCACACUGUUCAAAACGUGUCUAGCGGGCGAACGAAAUAUCCUAGGAUAACGAUUCUUUCAUCAGAUUG
Dalotia coriaria is the source of this 393-nucleotide long non-coding RNA. RefSeq lists it as uncharacterized. The record is from RefSeq and is a predicted model, not a curated record. The transcript has 3 exons. NCBI's taxonomy places the organism in Eukaryota, Metazoa, Arthropoda, Insecta, Coleoptera, Staphylinidae.